Molecule: ribosomal RNA, 1196 nt
Filed under: uncultured crenarchaeote
Lineage: Archaea; Thermoproteati; Thermoproteota
Description: bacterial SSU rRNA
Rfam family: Archaeal small subunit ribosomal RNA
Source: RNAcentral
ACACGUGGCUAACCUACCCUUAGGACGGAGACAACCCCGGGAAACUGGGGCUAAUACCCGAUAGGUGAGGGGGCCUGGAAUGGUUCUUCACUUAAAAGGCGUUGAAACCAUGCUUUUCAACGUCGCCUAAGGAUGGGGCCGCGACCGAUCAGGUCGUUGGUGAGGUAACGGCUCACCAAGCCUAUAACCGGUACGGGCCGUGAGAGCGGGAGCCCGGAGAUGGACACUGAGACAAGGGCCCAGGCCCUACGGGGCGCAGCAGUCGCGAAAACUCCGCAAUGCGCGAAAGCGUGACGGGGCUACCCCGAGUGCCGUCCGCUGAGGAAUGGCUUUUCCCCGUGUGUAAUGAGCCGGGGGAAUAAGGAGAGGGCAAGUCUGGUGUCAGCCGCCGGGGUAAUACCAGCUCUCCGAGUGGUAGGGACGACUAUUGGGCUUAAAGCGUCCGUAGCCGGCUUAGCAAGUCUUCUGUUAAAUUCAGCGACCUAAUCGUUGAGUUGCGGGGGAUACUACUAGGCUAGGAGGCGAGAGAGGCCGACGGUAUCCCGGGGUAGGGGUGAAAUCCUAUAAUCCCGGGAGGACCACCAGUGGCGAAGGCUGUCGGCUAGAACGCGCUCGACGGUGAGGGACGAAAGCUGGGGGAGCGAACCGGAUUAGAUACCCGGGUAGUCCCAGCUGUAAACGAUGCGGGCUAGGUGUUAGGGUGGCUACGAGCCACUUCAGUGCCGCAGGGAAGCCAUUAAGCCCGCCGCCUGGGGAGUACGGCCGCAAGGCUGAAACUUAAAGGAAUUGGCGGGGGAGCACCACAAGGCGUGAAGCUUGCGGUUCAAUUGGAGUCAACGCCGGGAACCUUACCGGGGGCGACAGCAGAAUGAAAGCCAGAUUGAAGGUCUUGCUGGACAAGCUGAGAGGAGGUGCAUGGCCGUCGCCAGUUCGUGCCGUGAGGUGUCCUGUUAAGUCAGGCAACGAUCGAGAUCCGCAUCCUUAGUUGCUACCGACCGAAAGGCGGGCACUCUAAGGGGACUGCCGCCGAUAAGGCGGAGGAGGGAGCGGGCCACGGCAGGUCAGUAUGCUCCAAAUCCCCCGGGCCACACGCGAGCUGCAAUGGCAGGGACAAUGGGUUCCCACCUCGAAAGGGGGAGGUAAUCCCGAAACCCUGCCUCAGUUGGGAUCGAGGGCUGCAACCCGCCCUCGUGAAC